Molecule: ribosomal RNA, 496 nt
Filed under: uncultured bacterium
Lineage: Bacteria
Description: partial 16S ribosomal RNA
Rfam family: Bacterial small subunit ribosomal RNA
Source: RNAcentral
GAUGAACGCUGGCGGCGUGCCUAAUACAUGCAAGUCGAGCGAACAGACGAGGAGCUUGCUCCUCUGACGUUAGCGGCGGACGGGUGAGUAACACGUGGAUACCCUACCUAUAAGACUGGGAUAACUUCGGGACACCGGAGCAAAUACCGGAUAAUAUAUUGAACCGCUUGGUUCAAUAGUGAAAGACGGUUUUGCUGUCACUUAUAGCUGGAUCCGCGCCGCAUUAGCUAGUUGGUACGGUAACGGCUUACCAAGGCAACGAUGCGUAGCCGACCUGAGAGGGGGAUCGGCCACACUGGAACUGAGAGACGGUCCAGACACCUACGGGAGGCAGCGGUAGGUAAUCUUCCGCAAUGGGCGAAAGCUUGACGGAGCAACGCCGCGUAGUGAUGAAGGUCUUCGGAUCGUAAAACUCUGUUAUUAGGGAAGAACAAAUGUGGAAGUAACUAUGCACGUCUUGACGGUACCUAAUCAGAAAGCCACGGCUAACUACGUG